UACGAAGGGGGGCGAGCGUUGUUCGGAUUUACUGGGCGUAAAGGGCGCGCAGGCGGCUCAUUUUUGUCAGGCGUGAAAGCCCCCGGGCUUAACCUGGGAACUGCGCUUGUAACUGGCAAGCUGGAGUGUGGGCAGAGGGGGGGUGGAAUUCCACGUGUAGCAGUGAAAUGCGUAGAGAUGUGGAGGAACACCGAUGGCGAAGGCAGCCCCCCUGGGCUAACACUGACGCUCAUGCACGAAAGCGUGGGGAGCAAACAGG
This 259-nucleotide ribosomal RNA is filed under the name uncultured bacterium. RNAcentral's name for it is "partial 16S ribosomal RNA". It matches the Rfam family "Bacterial small subunit ribosomal RNA", at positions 524 to 776 of the family's 1533-position model. The record is from RNAcentral.